This 89-nucleotide ribosomal RNA is filed under the name Veillonella atypica. The record is from RNAcentral. RNAcentral also lists the same sequence under 1 other name. Lineage: Bacteria; Bacillati; Bacillota; Negativicutes; Veillonellales; Veillonellaceae.
CUGUUCCCAUCUCGAACACAGUAGUUAAGCUCGUAAACGCCGAAAGUACUUGGCUGGAGACGGCCUGGGAGGAUAGGAAGUCGCUGAUU